RNAcentral lists this ribosomal RNA (194 nucleotides) under uncultured bacterium. Its description in RNAcentral is "partial 16S ribosomal RNA". It matches the Rfam family "Bacterial small subunit ribosomal RNA", at positions 1299 to 1500 of the family's 1533-position model. The record is from RNAcentral.
CGAAGUCUGCAACCCGACUUCGUGAAGCUGGAUUCGCUAGUAAUCGCGCAUCAGCCAUGGCGCGGUGAAUACGUUCCCGGGCCUUGUACACACCGCCCGUCAAGCCAUGAAAGCCGGGGGUACCUGAAGUACGUAACCGCAAGGAUCGUCCUAGGGUAAAACUGGUAAUUGGGGCUAAGUCGUAACAAGGUACC